GAUGAACGCUGGCGGCGUGCCUAAUACAUGCAAGUCGAGCGAACAGAUGAGGAGCUUGCUCCUCUGACGUUAGCGGCGGACGGGUGAGUAACACGUGGAUAACCUACCUAUAAGACUGGGAUAACUUCGGGAAACCGGAGCUAAUACCGGAUAAUAUAUUGAACCGCAUGGUUCAAUAGUGAAAGACGGUUUUGCUGUCACUUAUAGAUGGAUCCGCGCCGCAUUAGCUAGUUGGUAAGGUAACGGCUUACCAAGGCAACGAUGCGUAGCCGACCUGAGAGGGUGAUCGGCCACACUGGAGCUGGGACACGGUCCAGGCUCCUACGGGAGGCAGCAGUAGGGAAUCUUCCGCAAUGGGCGAAAGCCUGACGGAGCAACGCCGCGUGAGUGAUGAAGGUCUUCGGAUCGUAAAGCUCUGUUAUUAGGGAAGAACAAAUGUGUAAGUAACUAUGCACGUCUUGACGGUACCUAAUCAGAAAGCCACGGCUAACUACGUG
RNAcentral lists this ribosomal RNA (497 nucleotides) under uncultured bacterium. RNAcentral describes it as "partial 16S ribosomal RNA". It matches the Rfam family "Bacterial small subunit ribosomal RNA", at positions 28 to 507 of the family's 1533-position model. The record is from RNAcentral.